RNAcentral lists this ribosomal RNA (496 nucleotides) under uncultured bacterium. RNAcentral's name for it is "partial 16S ribosomal RNA". It matches the Rfam family "Bacterial small subunit ribosomal RNA", at positions 28 to 506 of the family's 1533-position model. The record is from RNAcentral.
GAUGAACGCUGGCGGCGUGCCUAAUACAUGCAAGUCGAGCGAACAGACGAGGAGCUUGCUCCUCUGACGUUAGCGGCGGACGGGUGAGUAACACGUGGAUAACCUACCUAUAAGACUGGGAUAACUUCGGGAAACCGGGGCUAAUACCGGAUAACAUGUUGAACCGCAUGGUUCAACAGUGAAAGACGGUCUUGCUGUCACUUAUAGAUGGAUCCGCGCCGCAUUAGCUAGUUGGUAAGGUAACGGCUUACCAAGGCAACGAUGCGUAGCCGACCUGAGAGGGUGAUCGGCCACACUGGAACUGAGACACGGUCCAGACUCCUACGGGAGGCAGCAGUAGGGAAUCUUCCGCAAUGGGCGAAAGCCUGACGGAGCAACGCCGCGUGAGUGAAGAAGGUCUUCGGAUCGUAAAACUCUGUUAUUAGGGAAGAACAAAUGUGUAAGUAACUAUGCACGUCUUGACGGUACCUAAUCAGAAAGCCACGGCUAACUACGU